CAAAGACCUCAGUGGAAGUAGGACUGGUUAACCAGACUGAAGCUGUGUCUGAUAUGCCAGAAGUUCCGGGUCAGCUUUCAAGCAGUAAUGAGGGAUCAGUUGGUGUCUCUUCUAUGGUGGUUGAAACAGUAGAAGAGGUUGACACUACUCCAAGAGAAGUCACUACUGGAUCCAGUAGUGCUGGUGAUGACGAGGAGCCAGAAAGCAUAGAGUCAAGCGUAUCACAAAGUGUUGAAGGAGUGGUUGAAACUGUAGAGGAGGCUGAAGCUGCUACAAAAGAAGUUGACAUGGGGUCCAGUAGUACUGGAAAUGAUGAACAGCCAGAAAGCAUAGAGUCGAGCAUAUCACAAAGUGUUGAAGGAGUUACUGAAACAGUAGAGGAAGCUGAAGCUACUCCAAAAGAAGUUGCUGUGGGAUCCAGUAGUGCUGGAGAUGACGAGGAGCCAGAAAGCAUUGAGUCAAGCGCGUCACAAAGUGUUGAAGGAGUGGUUGAAACUGUAGAGGAGGCUGGAGCUGCUACAAAAGAAGUUGCCAUGGGGUCCAGUAGUGCUGGGAAUGAUGAACAGCUAGAAAGCAUAGAGUCAAGCAUAUCACAAAGUGUUGAAGGAGUUAUUGAAACCGUUGAGGAAGCUGAAGCUACUCCAAAAGAAGU
RNAcentral lists this unclassified non-coding RNA (652 nucleotides) under Hevea brasiliensis (rubber tree). Lineage: Eukaryota; Viridiplantae; Streptophyta; Magnoliopsida; Malpighiales; Euphorbiaceae. The record is from RNAcentral.